UGGUGGAGCGGCUGGAGAACAUGAGGAAGAACGCGAUGGGGAACGGGCUCUCCCAGUGCUUGCUCUGCGGCGAGCUGCUCGGGCUCCUGGGCAGCACGUCGGUCUUCUGUCAGGAUUGCAAAAAGAAAGUUUGCACCAAAUGUGGAAUAGAAACUCUUGGACCCCAGAAACGUCCUCUUUGGUUGUGCAAGAUCUGCAGCGAGCAGAGAGAGCUCAUUAUUAGGCUCCUGGAAGGCACAAAGGAACUGUGUUUUUAGAGAAUAUUUCUCUUUGUCUGAGCUGCCUUCCUCCCCCCUUCCUCUGGCUCACAGCAGCCUUUGUCUUGAGUAUACUCCAGAGCGCUCCUUCAUCCCAAGCUGCGUUAAAACACAAUUGGCAAGUAGAGGGUGUUCCCGCGGGUUUGGGGUACAGCGCCGAGCUCUCGGCUCGCGCCGCAGGUUUGGGUUACCGGAGCGUUGUUCUUGUUCUGGGCUUUUCAAGCACGCUUGCUAGAUGGUCCGGCCUAGCUUGAGUCGCUCUGAGAUGAGUGUCCAGGCUGUGCCGCGCAGCGUCCCGCAAGGCUGCUCCUGGUGCCCCCAGGGUACCGUUUGCACG
Molecule: non-coding RNA, 594 nt
Organism: Struthio camelus australis
Lineage: Eukaryota; Metazoa; Chordata; Aves; Struthioniformes; Struthionidae
Source: RefSeq, a predicted model, not a curated record